CUGAAGUCCUGCCACCAGAACUGUAGCGUGGAGACACUUUCAGCUGUAGCAAGAAACCUGCUGCCGUCCCCUAAGUACAGGGAAGACAGAGGCUCCCGGCUCUGUGCCCACCCACAUUUUUAUACGGGGCUGAAGGUGCAUGGAGACCCUGGGAGUCAUGCACUAAGGGUGUCUCGUAGGUUUCUCAAACUUGAGAGAACCUGAUGGUCACACAGGCGAUAAAUACAUAAAUAAACAAGAAAAUAGCAUAUGGUAUGAUAAAAGCUUUGGAAAACAAUAACCAGUAUGCUGUGAUAGAGAAUUACUUAGAAAAUUCCUUUAUUCAGGAGUGUUGGGGGCAUACUCUAUGAAGGAAGGGCAGUUCAAACUGAAAUCUCAGUGCCCAAAGGAGUUUGCCUUAUAAUGACCUGAGGAGAGAGAAUUCCAUAUGGAUGGAACAGCAACUGCAAAAGCUCUAAGGAGAGAACAAGCUUGGUGUGUUGAAGGACUAGCAAGAAGAAACUGUGACCAGAAUGGAGGGAGGGAGGAAGGGAAGGCCAGACCAACUGAGCCCUUGUAGAUGAUGAUGAGGUGUGUGCAUUUUGUGAUGAGUACACAGGAAAGCCGUUAAAGGACUGUGAGCAAAGGUUUGACAUGAUUUGUCUUUUAAAAGAUGAAUAUGGUGGAAAAGGAGACUGGUUGGGGUAGGGAGAUGCAAGAGUGUAAACAGAGCUGGCUGGUAGGGGUUCUUUUAGUAGUUCAUGUAAGAGAGAAUGGGGACUCAUACCUGAGAGUUGGAGAUGAAGAGAAAUAGGUGGAUUCGAGGUAUCAUUGGAAGUAGAAUUAGCAGAAGUUGUUGAUACGGAUGUUGAGGGAAAGAGAAAUCAAAGAGUACUCAUAGAUGUGGAGUUGAAGCAAAUUGUAGUGCCCUUUACUAGAGGGAGGAGCAGAUUUAGGAAGGACUCAAGAGUUUUGUUUUGGGCAAAUUAUAUUUGACAUCCACAUAGAGCUGUUAGUCACAAGGAAUUUUUAAAUGUAAUUCAGUAACUCAUUAAGUAGAAUUCAUACAUACAUACUCUAUGGUGUAUAAUUACAAAGAGGUAUCCAUGAGAAAAGUCGGAUCUCUCCACAAAAAGGUAUAACCUCAUUGGGAGUUUGUAUAGAAAAGUAAAGAUAACCUACUUUGCAGUGAUUUAUCACCAAGCAGAAACUGGCUGAAGGGGUGUCUGUGUUAUCCUUAAAAUGUGUUUUCAUAAUUGCUGCAUCACACAUCACAUUGGUUAGAUUGGUGUGGAAUAUGUGGAACCUAGUCCUGCUUGCACAAUGAACAUUUUGCAAAAGGAGGAAGACACUUAGGGCUUUAGAUAAUUCUCCUUUGUUUUAGCUGAAAACGUUUGGAGAAUGUCGAAUGGUGUAUCCUUUUUGGCUGUUGCGAAUUAUUUUCUCUAAAUAUAUAGAGAAAAAAAUGAACAAUCAAAAAUUGGCAUGUGAUACUAUACAUCAUUGUUUUAUAUUGAGUGGAAAAAUAAGAACUGUGCCACAUUCAUAAGAUGGAUAAAUCAAGGAAGGUUUUGUGGAGGAACUAGGAAUUGAGUCCAACUUUGAGAAAUUUGUUGAUUGGCUCAACAGAAGGGAAGGAGAGUUUAAGAGCAGCCUUGGAUAGAAAAGAGAGGACAGACAGAGAGGUACAGAUAGGAAGAUAUUAAGGAGGCGGAGUCAGUGGGCUUCAGUGGCUGAUUGACUUUAGGGGAUGAAGAAAGGGAAGACUUCCAGAUUUGGGGAGGAUGAUUAUCAAGAUGAAUGCUGGAGAGGAGAUGGUCAGGAUAGAUUUUGGGAAGAUGAUGAUCAGGAUAUGUUGUGGUGUCAUUUAUUAGAAUGUGAAAUACAAGGAGAGCAGCUUUGUGGGAGGUUGCAUGAGGUAGAUACUCGAUUUGUUUGGUUAUAUUUAAGGUAUCUAUGGAGAAUAAAGGGGAGGAUGAGGGUUACAGGUCUGGAACUCAGGGAGAGAUCUGAGCUUGAGAUAAGGAUUUAUGAGUCACCCUCCGAGGGAGAUUGUGGUGUCUAAUGACUUUUGAGUAAUGAUGUGAGGAGUAUGACCUUUUUUAGGAAGAUUAAUGUGACAGUAAUAUGCAUAAUGGAGGAAAAAAGUGACUGGCAGUGUUAACACACCAAGAGUGAGAUAAAAGGACCCCGUGCAGUGAAGCAGGUGCAGGAAGUGACUCCUCUGAGGACUGCUACUGUUAGCCAAGUGAAAGUCUAAAACACAAUUGCCAGCGCCCAUGAUAUUCAGAUGUAUAAAAUGGAAUAUGUUAUUUUAAUUAAUUGUUCAUUGAUUGGUUGACUAAUUUGUACUCCCUUGUUCAAAAAAGCCUUUAAAAGUAUUUGACUGUAGUAGAGCUUGUGAGAUCCACACCUGGGAUUAGAGCUAGUUCAGAGUAGAAGCACUGAAAUGAUUAAGUAAUUGGAUAGAGAGGUCAAGAAACAGGAUUAUAGUCAUAGACUCUUUCAGUCCAGAAGGUACUCAGCGUUCUCUACAAGUACCUUCUGAGGCUACCGCUUUCGUUUUAGAGCUGCUUUAACUGUUGAUUCAUUCAUGCAUUUAUUCAUGUAUUCAUUCAAAAAGAAUGUAUUGAGCACAUGCCAUGUGCCACUACUCUUCAGAUUCACCAGUGCAAAUUGACUUUGCUUUUACCUGAGGACUGUUUUCUAAGGACCUAAAUUACAAUGCAUUUUCGAUACACUAUGGGAGCUUGCUUUGUUUUUUUGUUUUUGUAUUUUGAUUUUAUAUAGUAUGGCUAUGUUCUCUGAAAUGAAACUAAUUUUUACACAAAGACUUCUGUUUUAUAGUCUUUUUUCUUUUCGUUUUUCAAAGCCGAGAUAACAGUUGCCUCAGAUCAUUAACUUAAUUAUCCUGUACUCUAAAUUUACUAUUUCAGUGCUACCUAAGGAAAUGGUAAUAUCAUGAGUUCCUUAUUCCAUUUUUAGUUUUUUACAUUUCACUUAUUUCACAUUUUUUUUUCUUUACACAAGUAAAGUGUACGUGCUAAAUUUUUUUCUCGAUUGUUACCUUGUCCUUGGUCUAGAGGCUAUAGUACAACCCUGUGCUGUGUGUGGCCUAAUAAAAUGUUGUAAAUCUUAUGUCAUUUGUAAUGUUUGUCAGUAAACAAAUCUUUAGUAUUUAGAAAGAAAUACUAUACCGUAUUUUUAUUUAUGUAACUUUUUUUCUCAAAAGCAUUUUGGUUUUUUUUUAAUGUGCGUGGGGUAAAAUGCUCACACAAAACACACAAGUGAAUGUGACCUGGUGGAGCUGGGAGUAUUAGCAUUCAUGCUGCCUUUGAGAUAGUGCACCAGAAUUUCCUCUUAACGUUCCGAACUGCCACUAGAACCACUUCAUGGAGACACUUUUCAGCUGUAGCAAGAAACCUGCUGCCAUUGCAUAAGUACAGGGAAGAUAGAGGCUCCCAGCUCUGCCCCUACCCACAUUCCCAUACGCAGCUGAAGGUCCAUGGGAAGCCUGGGCAUCAUGCACUGGGGGUGUCUCCUACGUUUCUCAAACUUGUGAGAGCUUGAUGGUCACACAGAGAGCUUGCUUAACUAGGACUUGACUAGGGCUAGGGAAAUCUGCAUUUCCAGCAAGCCCCAGGAGAAGCUGUUACUGCCCAUUUUCACCACAGUUUGAGUAGAAAAGUUACAGAAUGUUUAUGUGAAUCGACUUCGCUGCACAGAGAAAUGGAUUUGUUGUACUGGUUUCAGAGAACAUCCUAUCUUCAAGUAGUCACUGGACCUAAUUUUGAUUUCCAUUACUUCUUUCAUUGUUUUUUAGAAAAGCAUAUCUUAUACAUUGCUUUGCUUCAAAUAGUAAUGGUAAUGGUAAUGGUUUCAUUAUGCAGUUAAAUUUUUUUUCUCAAGUAAAUGUUAAAAAUGAAAUAUUUCAUAUUAUACAGGACCACAUGAUAAGAGACAAAACAAAUCCUGGGACUCAGAUGCCGGAAAAAUCAUUUGCUUUUAAUAGAGUUGAUCCUUUACAUAGGUUUACCCAUUUGGUCUUUGCUAAACUUUACAAAUAUAUCUAAAACUUUAUGUCUAUGGAUUUUUUUUGGCAAUUACAUUGAUCUCCUAUGUGGCAUUAAAUGCCAUUAUUUCAAAAUAUUUCCUAAUAUGUUAUUGACUGUAGUAGAAAUAAUCAUUAAUUCACAGAAUCAGAUACACUAAAAAUUAAAUUAUAUGUUCUCCAAAAAUAUAAUUGCUGUUUACUAUGAGACUGUUAUAUAGCAGAGUUAAACUAAUAAGACAGUUGUUACAAAUGAUCACCACUGUAACUGUUCCAUUGGAGGGAGGAUGGAAAUGGGUGGGUUGUGUACAUUUUAUAAGGUUUAUGAAGUUUAAGGGAAAGGAUUUUGGGGUAAGCUGUUGGCCUUUCCAAACUGAUGUUAAUAUACUCAUUGAUAGUAGAAUAUGUGACCUUAGAUGGCACUUGGGAAGCUAAAGGAAAAAUCACCUGGGACCUUGAUGAUAAUGAGGUCCCUGACCCACCCGGAAGGUGAGGUUAAAUGUGUUUUCCUUUGGUCAAGGGAAGGGAAUUCCAAAUCCUUUGCUCAUGUCAGGAAGAGCCUUUGUGGGGGCCAGGACUUAGUGUUUUAAACUUGAUAAGUCUUCUUAGUAUAACUGUGCUAAUAUUUGACCCCCCCAAAAAAACAAAGGAAACCUCUCAAACUCUGAUUCUUAUUUAUCCUGAAACCAAGCAUUCUGUAUUGCAAGGACCAUGCCUUCUUUGCGUCAGGAUGUUCAUGUGUACAAAUUCCUAAAUUUUAAGUUACUCAGCUGCUUCAUUAAACUUACUUGUGAUAGAUUCUAGUUUUCUUAGGCUAGUUACAUCUGAAAGUGAUACUAUGCUUGUAAAUGUGUUGCUUUAGCUCAUAUAAAUUGUGUAAAAAGUUUAUUUUAGGGGAAUCCAGUUAACACUGCUUAUCAAGUGUAGAAAAACUAAGUCCUGGCCCCCACAAAGAUUUUUCCUGACAUGAGCACAGGAUCUGGAAUUCCCUUCCCCUGACCAAAGGAAAACACAUUUAACCUCACCUUCCGGGUGGGUCAGGGAUCUCAUUAUCAUCAAGGUCCCAGCUGAUUUUUCCUUUAGCUUCCCAAGUGCCAUCAAAGGUACUUGUUUAUAAGGCAGUAAGACCAUUAUGCAACUUUAAAUCUUAUCCCAGUCUCUUUGUAAAGACACAAAUUGACAAUAUUCUUUGUCUUUUCUUUUUUGGAGCAUAUAUAUAUAAGCGCACGCACAUACCCAUAUUCGUGUGUAUAUAUAUCUGUAAACAUAGAUAUAUAAAGUGACUUUAAAAUGUAAGUACGUGUGUUUCAUUUUAAAUUCUAGCAAUGUUAUUGGGAAAGAAAGUGUAGACAAAGUUACAUAUUUUUGUAAGUAGUAUACUUUUACUUACAUUGACAGUUAAAUCAAUAUUUAAAACUUUUUUGUUAUAGAUACAAAUUUUGGGAAGAAUUGUCCUUAGAAACAUGUUUUAAAUCAUUGUUUUGAUGUCUUGAUAACUGGUACCAGGAAAAUAAAAAGGGUUACCAAAAGGCAGAAACCAGUUUCAAAUUAUCUGGGAAAUAAAAACAGGAAACUCAGGGAACUUGGCUUGAGACCAGUUGGAGAGGAGCAGUUGUUGAUUGAAUAAUUAUACCUGCAUUUUAACUGUUGGAAGUCAUACAGUGACCUUCUGGUUGUUGUGAUUUCUUUGCCCAUCAAAAAAAAAAAAAAAAGUCAUGAUUAAAUAUUUUACAUCUAGUUACCAACAGGAGUGUGAGUGUAAAGGAGCCUUUUUAUUCCUACACAUUAGGUUACAAAAAGGAUUGGUACAAAAAACAAAUUUUCCAGUUGACAUUUAGAGUGAUACUUUGUAUACAGUCAUCUGUAAACAGCGUAAUAAUUUCUAUACCUCUCAUUCAUGGAUUUUUUUUUCGCCUUUUUCUUUGCUUUAACUCUUAACUCUGAGCUUUGAAGCCAUCUCUUCUGUCCAAAGAUGUGCCUAGUUCAAGCACUUUUCUGUCCUCUUCCCAUACCUAAUCCCAGGUUGGUUAAAGGCGCACCAAAAGUUGUAGGUGAGCAGGUGUUGCUACAUCUGGGCUUUAUUUCAGGAUUAACUAGAAUGUACUUACUCUAUGUUUUUAAAAGAGACUAUUGUUAAUAUUACAAGGACGAAAACAACUUGCCACUUUGAGCCAGAUAAACGGUGUUCUCGAGGGCCACGCCUAAAACUCCACCUACCCGGGAUGCUUAAAAAAUGUUGGUCUGAUGACUGACCUUAGCAGGGUGACAUGUUCACUGCUGGGGAGCCCCGAGCACUCCCGCGCGUGUCUGUGGUUUCUGACUUGGCUGUAGGUGACCUCUCUGUUUUUCCCAGGGCUCGGCAUGUGCUCUGUAACACAGAGCUGCUGAGUUGCUGCUUUGCGCAGCUGUGUCCGGCUAAGCCCUGGCCCCCACAAAGGUUUUUCCUGACAUGAGAAAGGAUCUGGAAUCCCAGCCCAGGAGGCCUUCUGAGCUGCUGGCAAAGGCUGCUGUGCAUGGAGACCACUCCCCAUGGCAGGGCUCCCUUCCCUCUAAGGGGAGCUGGAGCUGUCCCUUCUGUGUCCACAGGGGUUUUCCGCCUCCUGCAGAGCAGAGCUGCAGCCCCAAGCUUGUCUCCAUCAACCGGAGGGUUUGCAUAAGCAGGAGCUGUCGGGCAAUUAAAACCUCGUUCGUUAGUGUAAUUAGCAUUCCAAGACCACGAUCUGGGAUUGUGGACAACUCAACCAAGCUGCACAGUUUAUGUCCUGCUUAUGAAAAAAAAAAAAAAAAGAAAGUCUGUGCAAUCUGUGCAAGGGAAGUUCAAGAAAGAAUUUAGGGGCAUAACCACUUUAGCAUAAACUCACAGGCAGUGAAAAAGUGAUCAUUUCAAAUGUUCUUAUAAUUUUAUCACUAUAGGUAAGGAACCUCUAUUAGACACUGUGUUUUUUUGUACUCACCUGUCUUGCCAGUAUUAUAUAUUUACUAGUAUCUUGAUUAAGAGAUACUCAGAGAAAAAAAAAGCUCCUUUAAAUAAAGAGGGUUUUAAUUAAAAAAGAAAAAGAAAAGAAAAUCUUUGCUAAUGGGAGGAAGCAGGGCUGAAUGCAUACCACAUACAUAAAAAUAUACCUCAAAGCAAAGCUCUACUUUCCUCCAGUUCUUGUUGAAGGUUACUAAAGCUAACCUGACAUGAAAAUUGUAAAGGUUGCCAAAUUUGUCUUUUUCUGUCUAUGCCCUUCCUAUUCUAUUCUUUUAGUUUUUUUCCACCUCAGAAGCCCAGCAUCAUUUUUCUCUCGUUUCUAUCAGUAACUAUAAUCUAGGAAAAAAUUUAAAUUGUUUACCCUUUUUGAUUGGUUGUACCCCAGAGUGUUACUUCUACCUGCAUCCCCACAUUUUAAUCCUAAUUGUGAAAUUCCUAUUGAAUUCAAUCCAGAAGGAAGGAGCAAGGAUUUCUACUGUCAAUGAUGCACCUUCCUGACUGAGCCCUGCUCACUUGGGAAGGAUAGUCCUGGGGCUGGUCCACUGCAUGGGGUCAUUUGAGAUGAAUAUGGAAAGGACCUCGCCCUAAGAAGUCUAGUAGGAGAGAUCAGAUACACAAGGAGUUAUAAUGAGGGUAGAGCAGCCAUACCCAGUCUGAAUAGUGUUAUGCCCGGUAGACAUUCUGGAAGACAUUGCUAAAUAAGAAUCAGAGCUAACUUUAAUCAGUUUAAAAGCUACUUUGUGAUUUAUAGACACGUUUACUUCUAGAAUCGGCACUUCUUCGUUCUUUGUGAAAUCUAUAACUUUCUCAAGAAAGGUAUUUAAGAGCACUAAAAUUAAAUAUUUAAGUUUUUUUAAAGAAACGUUCUAAUAAUAUAAUUUGACUUAUUCCCUAGUUCAUAUUGACCUUCACUAAGCAUACUGUUCUGGGGCAUUUGAAUAAUUUGUUUCAAAACCUAUAAGACCAUUCUUUUAAUGGUGCGUAUGCUCUAAGAUAAGAAUAAUGGAUUCCUAUUGGUUGAUGAUACGUGCAAAGGUAGGGAUAUAUUCUUAUAGUGUGCCUUCCUGCUUUUGAUUCGUGGUUUCUCUUGCUAAGUGUUUUCUGCAUCAGGAGGAGGUGACAGCAGUAAGUGGUGCCUGUAAAGUUGGAAGAGGGAAGGAAUUGACAUGAAUUAAUGUCUGUGUGAGUUUUUAAGGAGCUGGAAUGUCCCUCUAAAUCGAGGAUGUGUUUUUUUUUGUUUGUUUCUGGUUGACAACUUCCUAGUUUUCCUACACUUCAUUAUUCUUUUCUCUGUCACUGGGAUUUUUUUUUUUCAGUUUCCCGAAAAGCAAAUGAAGUGCUUUUUCCUUAUCAGUGGCCUUUCUUUUCCUGUUCCAAUAACAAAAGAACAAUACAGGAAUUUAAUAAUGUUAAAAAAUUGCUGUGUCUUUUUCUUAAUAUAUCCAUUUAUUUGUCUGCAGAUAAAAUCCAAGUUUUACAGACAUAGAGGAAAACUGUUUAUAAGUAAAAUGAGCCACUAUUGUAUCUUGUCCUUGUCAGGGUUUUCAUUUUUGUCCUUUCACCCAGUUUAGAAAGUAAAUUUUUUUUUCUCUUUAAAAUGUGUUCCCAUGUUCUGUUAUUAAGAGGAAAAGUUCUGAAAAUAGAAAGAUAGGUGAAAACACUGGUUAUCCUCUAAUAGAAGGGCACUUUAAAGAUUCCUAGAACACAUUCUGAUCUUGUUUACGUAUCUAUAUUCUAUUAAAGACUGUUGUUUACUGUUCCUGCUGCUUUGGCCAGAAAAAAAAAGUCCAGUCUGCCUCACAGACUUUUUAUAAAUAUCAGAGGUGUGUUUUUGCAACAGUGUACAUGAAAAGACAUUUGUUUCAGUGUUUUGAUGCAGUUUGAGUUCAUGGGAGGGUGCAUUAAAGUGGCUUCUGCAAGUAUCCUUGAAGCCACAGUGAGGAGGGAACUUGGGACUUGUUCCAUGGUGGUCCUGCUGUGACCUCAGAGGACCUUGCUUGCUGACUUUUUUUAAGGCAUGAGACAAAUUCUCACAUUCUCAGUUGUGUCUGACGCAGAUCUGGGUACUAGUCAGGGUUUUAAACUGCCUAAAUAAUAUCUUGCAUGUAACAUCUAAAGUGACAUUUAUCUCUGUUACUAAAAAGAAAAUACUAUUCUAUUUACAUGUUCUUGGUGCCCUUUGGCAUUUUGAUUGCUGAUUACAGUAGGACCUUCAGAAUGCUUUCUGAUUGAGACCUGAUUUCUGUUUCAUCUGGAAUUUUUCAAAUACAAUUAUUGUGUGGUGUUAACACUUCAUUGCAACAUGGAACUCCCAAAAAUGUUGUAUAUGUAUUCUUUCAUGCCUCUCAGCCUGGCUUCAUGUAUGUCUAAGUACAGGUCUUAUUAUAAUGUUGCCCUUGGGGGUCCUUUUGAUAUAUCAAGAAUUAAACCUCUUUAGUCAGGAGAGUGCAUUUUAUAUGGAUUUAUAAUAAAUAGUCUGUGUUCAUAUGCAUAGGAAAUAAUGCAUUUUCUGAAAAAAAUUGUGCAUGUCACUUGUAUUUUUCUGCUUUGUAUGCCAGAAGAACAUUGUAUACAAAUAUGUCCCAUACGCAUGUGUGAAUUUAUAUAGCUGUAUGUAUAUAAGCACAUAUACAUCCAUGAUGAUAUAGGUAAUAUGUGGAAAUAAGUGCAGCCAUGUGAUUAUUUUUAUCUUAUUCUUUGUGUGUGUGUGUGUUUGUGUGUGUGUGUGUGUGUGUGUGUGUGUAGAGUUACCUGUGUGCUAGUAAAUAUGACAGUGCUGAUAAUAGUGUUACAUUCUCUGGUUAAGAGUUUCCUGAGAAUUUUGGUCUUCCUUAAUGGUGCAAAUUAGUUAUAGACUCUUAACUCGUGAGAUAUAUUCCAGUGGUUCGUUUCUAAGAAUUGAUGUAAUAUUAUGCACUUUGUAAAUAGCUUAUAGAGGAUAAGCUAUGACUCUUCAAAUAAAUAUUAUUCAAACUCCUUCCACUUUGAUUUCCCUUAUCACUAUAACAACCGCACCCAACUUUGCAAUUAAAUUGUGUUGUCUAUCUGCUUCCCGCACACUAGUGAAGCUGACCCUAUCGAGUUCAAAGGAAAUAUGAGAGAUAAAGUUGAAAACUGCGUUCCUUUUGUUGACAUUUCUAGAGCAACAAGUCAGAAAGCUUGUCUCCCUUUAGGUAGAUCGGAGCUGCUACGGGUCAUGAUUAGAUGGUAUGUCCACUAGUAACUGUGAUGACGCCCAACAGAAUUAUUUGAAACAUUCUCAGUAAAUAACCAGGAACUCCGGGAUCUGUUAUCUGAGCGUUUGGAGUUUGGGAUCCUUGUAGGGUCUCCAAAGCUUAAGACCUAUCUCCACUGCAUCUCUGAGAUCUUAAAAACAAUAAUACGAAGAUCCAGAAUAAAUUGGUGCCAGUUAAACUCGAACCAAAGAAGGUUUAAAUGCAGUGAGCGUUUGAGUGAUAAAUAAGGUAUGGCCCUAACUCAAGAGGCUUCCAGUUUUCUUGGGGAGACAGGCAUGAACACCACUCACUAGAAUAGAAAGUAGAGUGAAAUGAGUACUUUCACAAUUUACAGGUACAAGGAAAAUACACAGGAUUACUGAGAAAGGAGUUAUAUUCUGACUA
Cercocebus atys (sooty mangabey) is the source of this 10624-nucleotide long non-coding RNA. RefSeq lists it as uncharacterized. Lineage: Eukaryota; Metazoa; Chordata; Mammalia; Primates; Cercopithecidae. The record is from RefSeq and is a predicted model, not a curated record. The transcript has 2 exons.